This is a non-coding RNA of Coturnix japonica (Japanese quail), 357 nucleotides long. The record is from RefSeq and is a predicted model, not a curated record. Lineage: Eukaryota; Metazoa; Chordata; Aves; Galliformes; Phasianidae.
UUGUUUUAACUUCCAUUCUGUCCUAGGCCUCUAGGACAGAAUGGAAGAAGCUUUGAAGGUAAUCAACAUAUCAAUAUGGUAAGAGUACCGAGACAUCUUGGAAACAAAAACAGCAGGACGGCGACUGACAAGAUAGCAAGUGAACUAAUCCUGAUGUAUCACAACACAGCUUGGAGAUGAGAUGUGACCUUGUCUUGGGGCUUGAGGUCUGACUGGGCCCAGGAAGAUGGAUGGGUUUGCAGUGUUGGUUGAAAGCUGCACUGACCUCAAGAAGGAGCCCUGAUUGUGGUGCCAGCAUGACAGCAGACAGCAGGGGAGGAAAUCAAGACAAGCACCUCUGAUGCACAUGUGGAUGGC